CCCGCUGAACUUAAGCAUAUCAAUAAGCGGAGGAAAAGAAACUAACAAGGAUUCCCCUAGUAACGGCGAGUGAAGCGGGAUGAGCUCAAAUUUAAAAUCUGGUAGCCUUUGGUUGCCCGAGUUGUAAUCUAGAGAAGCGUCUUCCGCGCUGGACCGUGCACAAGUCUCCUGGAAUGGAGCGUCGUAGAGGGUGAGAAUCCCGUCUUUGGCACGGAUGCACCAGGGCUUCUGUGAUGCGCUCUCGAAGAGUCGAGUUGUUUGGGAAUGCAGCUCAAAAUGGGUGGUGAACUCCAUCUAAAGCUAAAUACUGGCGAGAGACCGAUAGCGAACAAGUACCGUGAGGGAAAGAUGAAAAGCACUUUGGAAAGAGAGUUAAACAGUACGUGAAAUUGUUAAAAGGGAAACGAUUGAAGUCAGUCGCGUCUACUUGGACUCAGCCUUACCUCGGUUUGGUGCAUUUCCUUGUGGACGGGCCAGUGUCCAUGUUGAUUGCUGGAAAAGGUUCAGGGGAAUGUGGCUCUUUUAGAGUGUUAUAGCCUCUGUUCAUAUACAGUAGUUGAUAUGGAGUGAUACAGCAUGCUUCGGCGGUGCUUGUACUGGCAUAAUGGCUUUAAACGACCCGUCUUGAAACACGG
This 635-nucleotide ribosomal RNA is filed under the name uncultured fungus. RNAcentral's name for it is "eukaryotic LSU rRNA". It matches the Rfam family "Eukaryotic large subunit ribosomal RNA", at positions 24 to 664 of the family's 3401-position model. Lineage: Eukaryota; Fungi. The record is from RNAcentral.